This 1110-nucleotide long non-coding RNA is filed under the name Piliocolobus tephrosceles (Ugandan red Colobus). RNAcentral's name for it is "lncRNA (ENSPTEG00000006302.1)". Lineage: Eukaryota; Metazoa; Chordata; Mammalia; Primates; Cercopithecidae. The record is from RNAcentral.
UAUGAAUUAAGAUUUUUCUCAUUAUUGACACAGCAUCCUGAAUGUAACUCAUUGAUUGUAGUCUCAUUAAAAUGCACACUUAAUAAUUCAAAUGAUAAAGAUGUAUGCUUUACUACAACUUGAAAAAUCCAACAGGGUAGAUGAUAAACGUAGUGGCAGGGUAUGUAGAUCCACAGAAGUUAAGUGAUCUUGUAACAUUUCAUAAAACUGGGGAUCUGCCUGGACCUUCAAAUGGGGAGGAGGUGUGAUGAGAUGCUGUCGCUGAACCAUACAGUGCCUUUCUGUAUUAAACUGUUCUUAAGGUGACUGUUUCACAUUGAUGAGGUUGCCCUAGCUAGAAAGCCAAGGCUCUUUCAAUUCUUUCUGGCCCUCCCCUUUGCCUGCCUUCGACGCCAAGGAGAAUGGUCCAGCAGCAUCUCAGCCCAUGAUUGUCAAGCGCCCACUUCCGUACAGUCCAUACACCCCAAGGUUCCUUGUGGGAUUCCUCAGCAACACCAAUGCACUGACCGUCACUCUGUGUUCUCCUAGAUUCUGAUGAAGAUCUGCAGGCGUCUGCACAUGGCGGUGUGGAGGAUAUGAAAUCAGAACGUAGCAAUUCGAAAGCCCAGUCUCAACUCUAUUCUGAUGAAGAUCUGCAGGCGUCUGCACAUGGCGGUGUGGAGGAGAAUAUGGGAUCAGAACUUGUAAGACGUAUUUCUUUCACUGGAAGAGAACCUUUUUUUGUUUUUUUCUGGGGCUUCUAGACUAUCAAGUGAAUAUCAUUUUUGACUGCCAUCAUGAAUCAGGCCUCAGUUGGUCAUGGACUUUAGCGACCAGUCACUGAAGGUUAUGACCAACUGAGGCCUGAUUGACGAUGGCAGUCAAAGGACGACAUCACUUACAAACUGUCUGGUAGUGAGUAUGUUUCUCAAUAGCAAGCUUUUCUCCCUGAAAAAUAAUUUUGUAUUUGUCAGCCAACAUGGUCACUUACUAAAUAUUCCCAAAAAAAUCCCACGGCAUUUUCCACAAGCAUUCUCUAUGCUUUAUUUGGCGGCCAGUGACUUGAUCACUGCUUGACGUCUCGGUUUUUAUUUCACCAAGUGAAUAAAAGGCCUUUGUCAACAGAACCCA